Molecule: ribosomal RNA, 495 nt
Filed under: uncultured bacterium
Lineage: Bacteria
Description: partial 16S ribosomal RNA
Rfam family: Bacterial small subunit ribosomal RNA
Source: RNAcentral
GACGAACGCUGGCGGCGUGCCUAAUACAUGCAAGUAGAACGCUGGAGGAGGAGCUUGCUUCUCUGGAUGAGUUGCGAACGGGUGAGUAACGCGUAGGUAACCUGCGUGGUAGCGGGGGAUAACUGUUGGAAACGAUAGCUAAUACCGCAUAAUAGUAGAUGUUACAUGACAUUUUCUUAAAAGGUGCAAUUGCAUCACUACCAGAUCGACCUGCGUUGUAUUAGGUAGUUGGUGCGGUAACGGCUCACCAAGGCAACGAUACAUAGCCGACCCGGGAGGGAGAUCCGCCAACCCGGGAACGGGAACACGCCCAGACUCCUUCGGGAGGCCGCCGGAGGGAAUUUUCGGAAAUUGACGGAAGGCCGGCCGCGCAACGCCGCGUGAGUGGAGGAGGGUUUCGGGUCGUUAAACCCUGUUGAAAGGGGAGAAAGGGUGGGAAGGUAGAAACUUCACGCUGUGACGGUAUCUAACCAGAAAGGGACGGCUAACUACGUG